GUCGAUAGGGAUCAGUCGAGUGAGCAUCUCCAACACGUCAACAACUGCAGUCCACAAUUUGUCACCAACUGCCUUCUUCAUUGUACAACCAGUUCGCAAUCAUGGUCAACUAUGACGCCGUGCUGCUGUUUGGUGUUGUAUCGUUAAUGGUUGGGUCGAACACGGGUGUACCGAUCUUCCUGGACAUGGUGGAUACCAAGCAACAGGAGCGAAAGAAUAUUACACCACGUCGCCGCCUUACUACACAACAACGUCUAGAUACGCAACAUCUACUAACUACGCCGAGGCCCCCAAGUGCUACACCUCCAAGGCUCAAGAGUUACGCUACAAAUUACGCUGCCCCGAGUUACAUCACCAAGGCGCCUGAGUACUACACGACUACGAAUGCUGCCCCAGCCUACUACACCGAGGCUCCAACUUAUUUCAAUACCACAGCGUUCGAGUACUACACCUAACCGCACAAGCCCCGAACUACACAACCACAACUGAGGCGGCGAAUCAACUAUAGUGUCGUGCUACUGUUGGUUGUAUUAUCCUUAAUGUUUGGGUCGACCACUGGUGUUCCGAUGUCUCGUGGGUAUGGCGGAUACUAAACCGCAAUGCGGUGUCUUACUACACAACAACAUAUGCAACAACCGGAUGCUACACCAUCAACACCCUGGAGUAUUACUCCAGAACUUAUGAUGUCCCGAGCUUCUACACCGAAGCUUUGAAGUAUAACUCUGCCCUGAGUCAAACCACGAAGGGAGCGGAGUACUACACCACGAAGGGAGCGGAGUACUACACCACGAAGGGAGCGGAGUACUACACCACGAAGGGAGCGGAGUACUACACCACGAAGGGAGCGGAGUACUACACCACGAAGGGAGCGGAGUACUACACCACGAAGGGAGCGGAGUACUACACCACGAAGGGAGCGGAGUACUACACCACGAAGGGAGCGGAGUACUACACCACGAAGGGAGCGGAGUACUACACCACCGCGUAUGCUGCCCCAGCCUUUUACACCGAUCGCAUAUUAUGCUACAACCCGCGCUGCCCUCAGCUACUAUACCGAGGCUCCAAAGUACUACACCACCAAGGCAGCAGAGUAUUACACCACAAACUUCUUGCUUCCGCAACUUGCUACAUGGAGGUUCCUAAAUGAUAGAGCCGAAAUUUCCAUUUUAUUUUAUUUAUAUGUGUCGGUUGUCUUCAUGGUCAUUGGUCACUGGGAAUUAAUGGUUGAACUUGAGUUUGAAGUUGAAACUGAGAAAAUAAAAAUUCUAAUGUGGGUAA
Molecule: unclassified non-coding RNA, 1278 nt
Filed under: Daphnia pulex (common water flea)
Lineage: Eukaryota; Metazoa; Arthropoda; Branchiopoda; Diplostraca; Daphniidae
Description: uncharacterized LOC124198763, transcript variant X3
Source: RNAcentral